RNAcentral lists this microRNA precursor (76 nucleotides) under Sorex araneus (European shrew). Its description in RNAcentral is "miRNA (ENSSARG00000018235.1)". The record is from RNAcentral. Lineage: Eukaryota; Metazoa; Chordata; Mammalia; Eulipotyphla; Soricidae.
UGUGUUCCUUUCCCCUGCCACCUGCCUCUUCCCUGCCCCGCUGCAGGCAAGGAGAGGGUGGCGGGAGGGCUGCGAG